Long non-coding RNA from Sander lucioperca (pikeperch), 227 nucleotides. RefSeq lists it as uncharacterized. The record is from RefSeq and is a predicted model, not a curated record. The transcript is spliced from 4 exons. Lineage: Eukaryota; Metazoa; Chordata; Actinopteri; Perciformes; Percidae.
AAAAUAACAACUUAAUAACUACCAAGAGCCUGGAUCUGUCCGAGGUUUCUGCCUAAAAGGGAGUUUUUCCUUCGCCACUGUCGCACUAAAUGCUUGUUCUUGGGGGAAUUACUGAAAUUGUUAGGUCUUUGUAAGUUAUAGAGUGUCGUCUAGACCUACUCUAUCUGUGAAGUGUCUUGAGAUAACUCUUGUUAUGAUUUGAUACUAUAAAUAAAAUUGAAUUGAAU